Molecule: long non-coding RNA, 792 nt
Organism: Cervus elaphus (red deer)
Lineage: Eukaryota; Metazoa; Chordata; Mammalia; Artiodactyla; Cervidae
Exons: 3
Source: RefSeq, a predicted model, not a curated record
CUCAAUGGACAUGAGUUUGAGUAAACUCCAGGAGUUGGUGAUGGACAGGGAGACUUGGCGUGCUGCAGUCCAUGGGGUCGCAAAGAAUCGGACACGACCGAGCAACUGAACUGAACUGAGCUAUGUCACACAUUGGGCCCAAAUCAUGGAUACGAUGGCUUCUUGUAAACUUCAGUCCUGACUCCAGUCUGAACCAAGAGACUGCCGUCCUGGAAUGUCCCUCCACUGCCCUGCUGAACCGGAUCAUCUCUUUUUAACUCCCUCAUUUCGCCUGUACUGCACCUUCAAUCAGGACGCUGGACCUGCUGCAUACAGCAGCCAGGAUAUAAAGCUGGACGAGCAGCAAAUGGCAAAGAGGACAACCGGAAGGAGCAGCAGCUAACCUCCUCCUUCACAUGGCAAACAAACUCAGGCGGAAAAGCCACUUGCCCAGGGCGACUCGGCAAGGAAGGGCAGAGCAGAGAUGUGAUUCCCUGCUGACUCCAGAAGCUGCCCUCUCACUCACCCUUCUGCCCCCACUGCCUGGAAGGAAGCUUCGUGAAGCUAUUUCAUCUAAGGAAGAGGGUCAAAAGGGAAAAGAGGCAGCCUGGACGUGAAACAUUCAAACAGGGGACAAGCCACCCAGCUGGUAUGCAGAGAAACAGACCAGUGUUUUCAAUGUUCAGGUCACAACCCAGCAAUGGAGUCAUAUCACUGAAUUUGACAGGAUGCAACCAACAUGUUUUUUAAAAAGAUAAACAGAAUAUAAAAUACUAGUAUACACUGCCUGUAGAAAAAAUAAAUUACUGUUUC